CACGUAGGGGGCGAGCGUUGUCCGGAUUCAUUGGGCGUAAAGAGCUCGUAGGCGGCUCAGUAAGUCGGGUGUGAAACCCUCAGGCUCAACCUGGGGACGCCACUCGAUACUGCUGUGGCUAGAGUCCAGUAGAGGAGUGUGGAAUUCCCGGUGUAGCGGUGAAAUGCGCAGAUAUCGGGAGGAACACCAGCGGCGAAGGCAGCACUCUGGGCUGGUACUGACGCUGAGGAGCGAAAGCGUGGGUAGCAAACAGG
RNAcentral lists this ribosomal RNA (254 nucleotides) under uncultured bacterium. RNAcentral describes it as "partial 16S ribosomal RNA". It matches the Rfam family "Bacterial small subunit ribosomal RNA", at positions 524 to 776 of the family's 1533-position model. The record is from RNAcentral.